Molecule: ribosomal RNA, 724 nt
Filed under: uncultured Rhizophagus
Lineage: Eukaryota; Fungi; Glomeromycota; Glomeromycetes; Glomerales; Glomeraceae
Description: SSU rRNA
Rfam family: Eukaryotic small subunit ribosomal RNA
Source: RNAcentral
GGCACGACACCGGAGAGGGAGCCUGAGAAACGGCUACCACAUCCAAGGAUGGCAGCAGGCGCGCAAAUUACCCAAUCCCGACACGGGGAGGUAGUGACAAUAAAUAACAAUACGGGGUUCUUUAGGAUCUCGUAAUUGGAAUGAGUACAAUUUAAAUCUCUUAACGAGGAACAAUUGGAGGGCAAGUCUGGUGCCAGCAGCCGCGGUAAUUCCAGCUCCAAUAGCGUAUAUUAAAGUUGUUGCAGUUAAAAAGCUCGUAGUUGAAUUUCGGGGUUAGUAGGUUGGUCAUGCCUCUGGUAUGUACUGGUCUCACUGAUUCCUCCUUCCUGAUGAGCCGUAAUGCCAUUAAUUUGGUGUUGCGGGGAAUUUGGACUGUUACUUUGAAAAAAUUAGAGUGUUUAAAGCAAGCUAACGCUUGAAUACAUUAGCAUGGAAUAAUGAAAUAGGACGUUCGAUCCUAUUUUGUUGGUUUCUAGGAUUGACGUAAUGAUUAAUAGGGAUAGUUGGGGGCAUUAGUAUUCAAUUGUCAGAGGUGAAAUUCUUGGAUUUAUUGGAGACUAACUACUGCGAAAGCAUUUGCCAAGGAUGUUUUCAUUAAUCAAGAACGAAAGUUAGGGGAUCGAAGACGAUCGGAUACCGUCGUAGUCUUAACCAUAAACUAUGCCGACUAGGGAUCGGAUGAUGUUAAUUUUUUAAUGACUCAUUCGGCGCCYUACGGGAACAG